This 249-nucleotide ribosomal RNA is filed under the name uncultured bacterium. Its description in RNAcentral is "partial 16S ribosomal RNA". The record is from RNAcentral.
CUGCUGCCUUCCGUAGGAGUCUGGUCCGUGUCUCAGUACCAGUGUGGGGGACCUUCCUCUCAGAACCCCUACGCAUCGUCGUCUUGGUGGUCCGUUACACCGCCAACUAACUAAUGCGACGCAUGCCUAUCCGCCACCGGAAUUAACCUUUGGCACCAACAGGAUGUCCCGUCGAUGCAUUAUGCCGUAUUAGACGGAAUUUCUCCCGAUUAUCCGGCUGUGGCAGGCAGGUUGCAUACGUGUUACUCA